UCGAAUGUUGGCGGCAAGUAUAAGGCAUGCAAGUCGAACGAAUAUUAUCGGUGCUUGCAUUGAUAAUGUUAGUGGCAAACGGGAGCGUAACACAUUGGUAACCUACCUUAAACUCGCGAAUAACUAUUGGAAACGAUAGCUAAUACGCGAUAUUGAUACACUGACUAUGUCUAUGUAUCGAAAGUUCCGGCGGUUUAAGAGGGGCCUAUGGUCUAUCAGCUAGUUGGUGGGGUAAUGGCCCACCAAGGCAAUGACGGAUACCGGGUGUGAGAGCAUUACCCGGCUCACUGGGACUGAGACACGGCCCAGACACCUACGGGUGGCUGCAGUCGAGAAUCUUCCUCAAUGCACGAAAGUGUGAAGGAGCUAUGCCGCGUGUCGGAUGACGGUUUUCGGAUCGUAAACGACUGUCCUGGGGGACGAAUUCAUGACGGUACCCCAGAAGAAAGAGGUUGCUAACUCUGU
RNAcentral lists this ribosomal RNA (465 nucleotides) under uncultured bacterium. RNAcentral describes it as "bacterial SSU rRNA". It matches the Rfam family "Bacterial small subunit ribosomal RNA", at positions 30 to 506 of the family's 1533-position model. The record is from RNAcentral.